CCUGUGUAUCCCUGUGGGCUU
RNAcentral lists this unclassified non-coding RNA (21 nucleotides) under Chlamydomonas reinhardtii. RNAcentral describes it as "small RNA Cre_1173". The record is from RNAcentral. Lineage: Eukaryota; Viridiplantae; Chlorophyta; Chlorophyceae; Chlamydomonadales; Chlamydomonadaceae.